Molecule: ribosomal RNA, 301 nt
Filed under: uncultured bacterium
Lineage: Bacteria
Description: partial 16S ribosomal RNA
Rfam family: Bacterial small subunit ribosomal RNA
Source: RNAcentral
CAGCCGCCGCGGGAAUACGUAGGUGGCGAGCGUUGUCCGGAAUUAUUGGGCGUAAAGGGAGCGCAGGCGGACAUAUAAGUCCAUCUUAAAAGUGCGGGGCUCAACCCCGUGAGGGGAUGGAAACUGUAUGCCUUGAGUGCAGGAGAGGAAAGCGGAAUUCCCAGUGUAGCGGUGAAAUGCGUAGAUAUUGGGAGGAACACCAGUGGCGAAGGCGGCUUUCUGGACUGUAACUGACGCUGAGGCUCAAAAGCCGGGGGAGCGAACGGGAUUAGAUACCCCAGUAGUCCCUGUCUCUUAUACA